Molecule: microRNA precursor, 97 nt
Filed under: Marmota monax (woodchuck)
Lineage: Eukaryota; Metazoa; Chordata; Mammalia; Rodentia; Sciuridae
Source: RNAcentral
UGUGGGAUAGCUGAGUCAAAUGGUUUUCUAAGUUUUCUAAGGAAUCUCCAUACUGCUUUCCAGAUUGGUUGCACCAAUUUGCUUUCCCACCAGCAAU